CCUUCUAGGCAUGGGCUGCCUUGGUCAGUUACAGUGAGGUAAAACUGAUCCAGUUUGACAGGAAUGGAGAUGAAAAUACAAUUUAAUUUCCUUUCUGAGCUCUCUUGGGUCCAAGUCUCUGUGCCAACCCUACGGCUGCAUUUUUUUCUGGAUUUAUGUAUUGGGAUUCUAGUCUGAUAGGAGAUGUGAAUGUAACAUUUAAGCUAUAAACUUAGUGUGGAGCUGAGUGUGGGGGGGGGGGGGCAGUGUGAGAGUUUGCUUGGAGAAAGGAUGACAGUCCUAGAGGGGUGAAUCAGUCUCAGAUUUAUUUUCGCUGUUGUAUGUCGUGAAAUUUAUGGUACCAAUACAUAAAAUUACUACUUUAAUGAUAAAUUGACAAUUUUUUAAAAAAAAAGUAGCGCUAAAGAGGGAUGGCAAUGUCUAAUUAUUAUCUAUCCAUCAUUGUUGGAUCGAAAUCUUGUAUCUCUGCACAAUAAUGUUAUGUGAUUAUCUUCAGGCUGUUAUUGUGAACAAUGCCACUUGAUAUCAUGAUCAAUGAUACCUUCUUUCACGUAGUUGACUGAUGGUGGACUGAUUCAGUAGUAAUUAAUUUGUUUGGAUUUGCCCUGCUUUUUAUGAAUAGGGCAUACCUAGGCAAUUUUUGACACGGCUAGGCAGAUGCGCAUGUUAUAUCCAGUCCUUAAUUUCAUUACAACUCAUUUCAGCUCAUUCCCUUUCAUCUGCAACCAUUCUUGAUGAGGGGUCUUGACCUGAGAUGUUGACUGUCCAUUUCCGUCUCUAGUACUUUCUUUGUUGUAUUCUGACUUUGGUCGGAAAAGUGGCUAGUUUUGGAGCAUAAAUGUCCACCACUUUGAGACAUUGUCUGACCCCUUUCUGAAUGGAAACAUUUUUUGAUUGCACAUAGAGCGAAUCAGUUAGGCUUUUUUAUUGUUCAGGAUCUUAGUAGGAAGCUGUGAUAGGUAAUCAUUUGCUCUUUUGGCUGAUCGUGACUGGGAUGAGAGGGAGCAGCUAAAGAAGUUAGAUCUUUUUUGGAAUUCAGAAGAAAGAGGUGAUCUUACUGAAACAUGUAGAUCUUGAGGAUGCAUGAUAGGAUAAAUGUCAAGAUAUUUCUGCAGUGAGGGGACCUAGAAUGAGUGGACUUUGUUCCAAAAUUGGGGUGGAGGAUGAGAAUUUAAAACAUUUUUAAAUAUGAUUUUAGCCUAGUAAUCUCUUGGGUAGGGACAUUUUCGGCACAAGUUUGUGGACAGAAGAGCCUGUAUUGUGCUGUAGGUUUUCUAUGUUUCUAUGAUUUUGUUGUACCAAAUGGUAAACCUGGAUUUUUCUGUUUAGGAGGGUUUUGGAGGACAGAGCAUAGGGGGUAUUUAAAGAGAUGUGAAAUAAAUUGAUCAAAGGUCAAGGAACGGGGAGGGGUCGGCGCUAAAGGGAAUGUGCACAGAACAAGAGAAGAAGAGAAGAAAUGUGGGUCAGAUCAAUCGUAAUCGUACCGAGUGGUGGGCAAGUGGCCCACUCCUCUUUUCUUGCAUUCUAAUGGCAGUAAAGCUUCAGCCUUAGUUCUAUUAUCAUCGAGGGUGGGAAUGUUUUUGGAGCCAUGUACUCCCAUUAGUUGAUUCAUUCCUCACCUGUAACUAAGUGUGGCAACAUUGCAGAGAACUGCCAAGGAAUACAAGGUUUCUGGAAAUUCUGAUGGAUGGGGCCAGCAAUCUAUCUCAUAACCAUUUAAAGUUGGGCAUAGAAAAGGAAAGAGUACAUGAAGAGCAAUUUGAGUUGUAGUGAAAUGAAGAGAGGAAAAUAAAAGACAAAGCAAAAGUGGAAAAAAAUAUCUUUGUAAGCCUCCAGGUUUUAUUUGCAGGAGUGAAAGUGCGUUAUUUCCUGUUACUGGGCCCAGCCACAGUUAGUUAGAUAAGUCACAUGUAAGUGAUAAUUUACAGAGUGACAUAACAGUCCAAAGCUUUGGGUUUAACGUGUAUUGGUAACAAAGUACACAGAAGCUGAGCUUUUGUUUUCAAAGUGCUGACGGUGGUGCAUCCCCCGUCACCCAGGUGACUUUUGAACCCUCCGUCCCCAGGAGGAGCUCUGAUCUCUCACUGAUUAAUACCCUGUGUGAUUGUGACAGAGAGGUUGGCCAUGCUUGCAGCCCUCGACUCGGUUGAUCACACCAUCACCACCAGAGGCUGUCUGUGUGAGACCGGGUCGAGAAGCUGUCCCAGUGCCAUUCUUGGGUUUCCCAUUACAGGCAGAGAACCGCCAGCAAUGGAUUAUUUUCUGUGUACCGCUUAUGGUAAAAUUAUCUUAAAGCACAGCGCCGGCUUCCACAUGUACACUGGCUAAACUCAGCUCUUACUGCACCCCCUCUCCACCUUUUGUCACCUCACUAUCUCUUAAAUUGUCAAACUCCUUGCCAGUAGUAGUGGCUGUGGAGAAUUUCCUUUGUCCAAGUAAUAGGCAGACUAAAUCCAAGUGUUUGUUCCCUUCACAUAUUUUGUUUCUGAGUUUUAAAGCUUCAGUAACAUGCUAAUAUUAAGACUACUUACUGUAUUUCCAGUUCUGUAAUAUUGCCCAUUUCUUAACUGUCUCAACUCUUCUUCUGCUGAGAGUCUCGUACAUACCUUUGUACACUUGGCUAUCCCAAUCCAUUCUUUCUAGUGUAACUCACACAAAAUGCUGGAGGGAUUCAGCGAGUCGGGCAGCAUCUAUGGAGGGAAAUAAACAGUCAAUAUUUUGGGACGAGAGCCUGCAUCAGGACUGGAAAAGAAGGGGGCAGAACCCAGAGUAAGAAGAUUGGGAAAGAGAAGGAGGAAGAAAGGAGAAAUUACUGGCAGUUGGAGAAAUCGAUGUUCAUAUCAUCAGGUUGUAGGCUACCCAGACAGGGUAUAAGGUGUUGUUCCUCCAGUCCGAGUGUGGCCUCAUUAUGGCAGUCAAGGAGGUCUGAAAAGCAAUGGGGUCAAAUUGAAAUGGGUAGAUGCAGCGAGAUCCAGCCACUUUCGGCGGACAGAGCAAAGAUUCUCAACCCGGUGGUCCCCCAGUUUGCACCAGAGGGGGCCACACCAGGAGCACUGGGAAGUAGGUGACCCCAGUGUGGUGAACUAUGUGCCUGUCUGGACACGCCCCCUGCUGACUGCUCCUGUGGCUCCUCCCACAGGCCCCUGUAUAAAGGCGAUCUGAGGCCUGACGCUCGGCCUCAGUCUCCAGGACAUAGUAUGAUGGACACUCACUCCUGGUUCCUUCUUCCAGUCAAUAAAAGCCGAUAUCUCACCUUACGUCUCAGAGUGAGUUAUUGAUGGUGCAUCAAUUUUAUUGACUGGAAGUUUUAAAACAUGGAAACCGUUUUGCGUCUGGACCGGUUGGAUUUGGACCCUCAAGACCCUGACGCAGCUCUCGCUUUUGAACUCUGGCUUGCAUGCUUCCAAUCGUACUUGGAGGAGGUUCGUGCAACUGAACCCGCUGUUAUGCACAGAAUCCUACUCUCGAGGGUCACCCCCAAAGUUUACUCCAUUAUCCGGGACCUGCCGACCUACGAUGGGGCACUGGACGCCCUCAAAAGACAGUACCUGCGGCCGGUGAACACCGUCUACGCAAGACAUCGUUUAGCUACCCGGCAACAGCGGCCUGGCGAAUCGUGCGCUGAGUUUCUCCGAGCACUACAGACACUCGUCCGAGCUUGUGACUGCAAGACGCUCACGGCAGAACAGCAUGCGGAGCUGCUGGUGCGAGACGCCUUUGUGACGGGACUGAGGUCAGUGUACAUACGCCAGCGUCUGCUGGAAAAUGCCGACCUUACCUUACGCUCGGCGAUCGAGAAGGCCAACGCUCUGGAAGCUGCUUUACAUAAUGCUGACGCUGUCCAGUCGCGCGAUUCCCCACCGGUUCCAUGGACACCUCAGACCCCGCCACCGCCGGCUCCUGGGAGCGAAUUCGCCAACGCCGCUGCCAGUCGCGAUUCCACGAGCUCCCCGAACCCGACCACAGCGGCAGCCCGUCAGAUGCCUGUGCUUUGUUAUUUCUGUGGCCAAAAAAACACCCUCGACAACGCUGUCCAGCGCGAGAAGCGACCUGCUCCAGCUGCGGAAAGUGGGGCCAUUUCGCCAAGGUCUGUAAGUCUCAACCUCGAGCGGAGUGCAGCGCUGCAGGUGAGACGUGGGGGCCGCCAUCUUGCAUGCCCGGAUGUGGGCAGCCAACUUUGUCGGCGUCAGCACGCCCCGCCCCCGACCCUCCGAUGCUUACCGGGUACCAAGACGGCGAUUCAACUCUGGCCACUGUAACCCUCGACCAAAGCGCCCCACACCAGCUUGCAAGGUCCAUGAUGGACAUCCGGGUGGAGGGGCACCGGACUAGAUGCCUGUUUGACACGGGCAGCACUGCAACGUGCAACACUGCGGACUUGCAACGCGGCCGAGGGAAAUGGACCGGAUGGUGGACCAGUACCAACUGCAGGCCACAUUUCCCUAUCUGGAUAACAUCACCAUCUGUGGUCACGACAGGCCAGAUCACGACGCCAACCUCCAACGAUUUCUCCAAGUGGCCGCAGCUCUGAACCUUACUUAUAACAGGGACAAGUGUGUGUUUGGAACCACCCGCCUUGCUAUACUUGGGAAGUCUGUCACUGGGACCACCCUACCAGUUUGGCUGAUGUCCCCGGGGCCAGUGCUGCUCCGGAAACGUGAGGAGCAAUAAAUACUCCCCGCUGGUAGAGAGGGUUCACCUUCUACAUGCGAACCCCCAGUAUGCUUACGUGGUCUUACCUGAUGGGCGGGAGGACACGGUCUCCAUCCGCGACCUGGCACCCGCAGGUGCAGCAGACCACUACCCUGAAGGCUCUCCGGUAACUAUGAACCCUGCACCAGAGGUGACACCGUACUCACCAGGCCCUACACAGACUCCUCACGACACUUGUAUACCGGGCGUUUCGUACGCAUUUAUACCAGGCGCCUCGCACAUGCGUGAGGGAUCACCAGCGCCUAGUGGGCAGGAACAAGCGCAACCUCUGUCCCCUGUGCAAUCACCAAUGUCGCCGGCAUCCAUGCGAUCACAGCCGGUGCUAUGUAGAUCGCAGCGACAGAUUCGACCACCUGAUAGACUUGACUUGUAAGAAACUUCGCCACAUGGGGACUCUUUCAAACAAAGGGGGGGUGAAUGUGGUGAACUAUGUGCCUGUCUGGACACGCCCCCUGCUGACUGCUCCUGUGGCUCCUCCCACAGGCCCCUGUAUAAAGGCGAUCUGAGGCCUGACGCUCGGCCUCAGUCUCCAGGACAUAGUAUGAUGGACACUCACUCCUGGUUCCUUCUUCCAGUCAAUAAAAGCCGAUA
Hypanus sabinus (Atlantic stingray) is the source of this 5304-nucleotide RNA transcript. It is a transcript of the gene named coiled-coil domain containing 124, with no coding region annotated. The transcript is spliced from 3 exons. The record is from RefSeq and is a predicted model, not a curated record. Lineage: Eukaryota; Metazoa; Chordata; Chondrichthyes; Myliobatiformes; Dasyatidae.